AGAGUUUGAUCAUGGCUCAGGAUGAACGCUAGCUACAGGCUUAACACAUGCAAGUCGAGGGGAAACGACAUCGAAAGCUUGCUUUUGAUGGGCGUCGACCGGCGCACGGGUGAGUAACGCGUAUCCAACCUGCCCACCACUUGGGGAUAACCUUGCGAAAGUAAGACUAAUACCCAAUGACGUCUCUAGAAGACAUCUGAAAGAGAUUAAAGAUUUAUCGGUGAUGGAUGGGGAUGCGUCUGAUUAGCUUGUUGGCGGGGUAACGGCCCACCAAGGCGACGAUCAGUAGGGGUUCUGAGAGGAAGGUCCCCCANAUUGGAACUGAGACACCGGUCCAAACUCCGUACGGAGGCA
RNAcentral lists this ribosomal RNA (354 nucleotides) under uncultured bacterium. Its description in RNAcentral is "bacterial SSU rRNA". It matches the Rfam family "Bacterial small subunit ribosomal RNA", at positions 8 to 350 of the family's 1533-position model. The record is from RNAcentral.